This 720-nucleotide ribosomal RNA is filed under the name uncultured bacterium. RNAcentral's name for it is "bacterial SSU rRNA". It matches the Rfam family "Bacterial small subunit ribosomal RNA", at positions 97 to 813 of the family's 1533-position model. The record is from RNAcentral.
GGCGGACGGGUGAGUAAUGCCUAGGAAUCUGCCUGAUAGUGGGGGACAACGUUUCGAAAGGAACGCUAAUACCGCAUACGUCCUACGGGAGAAAGCAGGGGACCUUCGGGCCUUGCGCUAUCAGAUGAGCCUAGGUCGGAUUAGCUAGUUGGUGAGGUAACGGCUCACCAAGGCGACGAUCCGUAACUGGUCUGAGAGGAUGAUCAGUCACACUGGAACUGAGACACGGUCCAGACUCCUACGGGAGGCAGCAGUGGGGAAUAUUGGACAAUGGGCGAAAGCCUGAUCCAGCCAUGCCGCGUGUGUGAAGAAGGUCUUCGGAUUGUAAAGCACUUUAAGUUGGGAGGAAGGGCAUUAACCUAAUACGUUAGUGUUUUGACGUUACCGACAGAAUAAGCACCGGCUAACUUCGUGCCAGCAGCCGCGGUAAUACGAAGGGUGCAAGCGUUAAUCGGAAUUACUGGGCGUAAAGCGCGCGUAGGUGGUUUGUUAAGUUGAAUGUGAAAGCCCCGGGCUCAACCUGGGAACUGCAUCCAAAACUGGCAAGCUAGAGUAUGGCAGAGGGUGGUGGAAUUUCCUGUGUAGCGGUGAAAUGCGUAGAUAUAGGAAGGAACACCAGUGGCGAAGGCGACCACCUGGGCUAAUACUGACACUGAGGUGCGAAAGCGUGGGGAGCAAACAGGAUUAGAUACCCUGGUAGUCCACGCCGUAAACGAUGUC